This 376-nucleotide ribosomal RNA is filed under the name Chorthippus parallelus erythropus. Its description in RNAcentral is "partial 12S ribosomal RNA". Lineage: Eukaryota; Metazoa; Arthropoda; Insecta; Orthoptera; Acrididae. The record is from RNAcentral.
CUAUUAUUUUAAGUGUUAAUCAUGUUUACCAGGGUAGUAUUAGUUAGGAUCUUAAAACUCAAAGAAUUUGGCGGUAUUUCAUUCCAUUUAGAGGAACCUACCCCGUAAUUGAUAAUACACGAUUAACUAUACUUAAUUUAUUUGUUUGUAUAUCUCCGUUAUCAGAAAAUCUUUUUGGAGUUAUAAUUUUCUUGAUUUAUAAUUAUAAAAUAUUUCAGGUCAAGGUGCAGCUUAUAAUUAAGAGGAGGUGGGUUACAAUAAAUUUUAGUUUAUUACGUAUUUAAUGGUGAAAGACUAUUAAUAAAGGUGGAUUUAAUAGUAAUUUGAUUUAUUUAAUUCAAUUGAUUUUGGCUCUGAGGUGUGUACACAUCGCCCC